This is an RNA transcript of Balaenoptera acutorostrata (minke whale), 1067 nucleotides long. It is a transcript of the gene named ATPase H+ transporting V0 subunit e1, with no coding region annotated. The transcript is spliced from 5 exons. The record is from RefSeq and is a predicted model, not a curated record. Lineage: Eukaryota; Metazoa; Chordata; Mammalia; Artiodactyla; Balaenopteridae.
CGGGUCUUUGCGCGCGCAGGUCACGCGGCUGGUGUUGACACUUCCGGGUGGGACCGCAGGGAGGCGGCGGGGCAGGGGCUGGCACCUCCCGCAGCAGCAAUGGCGUAUACCGGCCUCACCGUGCCUCUCAUCGUGAUGAGCGUGUUCUGGGGCUUCGUCGGCUUCCUGGUGCCCUGGUUCAUCCCUAAGGGUCCCAACCGGGGAGUUAUCAUCACCAUGUUGGUGACCUGUUCCGUUUGCUGCUAUCUCUUUUGGCUGAUUGCAAUUCUGGCCCAACUCAACCCUCUCUUUGGACCACAGUUGAAAAAUGAAACCAUCUGGUACCUCAAGCAUCAUUGGCCUUGAGUAAGAAGACCUGCUCUCCAGUGCUCAGUCAUUGAGUAGCACAUGUGGCUUUAUUUAUAAAGACGUUAUACAGUAAGCUUUGCGUGAAGGAGUUACGCGACCGCUGUUAGCAGUCUGAUGUGUGAAGAUACCUAUUUUAAAUGUUUGCCAGCUCUGCAGAGGUGGUGUUGCAGCAUUAAGCUUCUAGAAGAAGAAAUUCUCAUUUGUCACCUACACUUGGGGUGGCAAGAACGGUCACGAAGAGAACUCCUCUAGAUGCAAAAUCACCUCCAUACCCAGACCACCUUCCUUGACUCGCCCACUUUGGCUGUCAGCUGCCUUAAACGUUCCCACCACAUUUGAAUAUCUUAUUCUACAAUGCAGUAUUUUUUCCUGUCACCUUUUUUAUACUUUGAUGAAUGAUGUGCCUAUUGAAUCUAAACUGUGCUGCCUCUAUAAAGUGUUUAUGUACUCUUCGGAGAUAGAAAAUGCUGUUGUUCUGAGAAAUAACAUUACUCUCCUUGGAAACUGUGGAUUUGAAGAUGGCUCCUGCCUGCUCACAACAUGAGAAUCAGCAAAGUGUUUAAAAACUGUUACAUGAUAGUAAGACUCCAGUGGGGCAGUCAGUAGGAGAACAUGUUCAGAGGGAAAAUCUGUCCCACCAGAAUUAUACCAAAGUAUAUUUUCAGGAUGAAUUUCUUAUUUCUGCCCUCCUUUGGAAUAAAUUAUUUUUCUGCUCUCUA